Molecule: ribosomal RNA, 481 nt
Filed under: uncultured bacterium
Lineage: Bacteria
Description: partial 16S ribosomal RNA
Rfam family: Bacterial small subunit ribosomal RNA
Source: RNAcentral
GACGAACGUUGGCGGCGUGCUUAAUACAUGCAAGUCCACUGAAGCAGUGGUAGCAAUAUCGCUGUGGAGGUGGCGCACGGGUGAGUAACACGUAGGUAAUCUGCCUUCAGGUCUGGCAUAACUCCGGGAAACCGGGGCUAAUAGCAGAUGAUGCAGCGGCUCGACAUCGAGACAGUUGUUAAAGCUAUGGCGCCUGAAGAUGAGCCUACGUCUGAUUAGCUAGUUGGCGGGGUAACGGCCCACCAAGGCAACGAUCAGUAGCUGGUCUGAGAGGAUGAUCAGCCACACUGGAACUGAGACACGGUCCAGACUCCUACGGGAGGCAGCAGUAAGGAAUAUUGCUCAAUGGGAGAAAUCCUGAAGCAGCAACGCCGCGUGAGGGACGAAGGGCUUUUGCUUGUAAACCUCUGUAGUGAGAGAAAAAAAUCCCAAUCUUUGGGACAUGAUGGUAUCUCAAAAGUAAGCCCCGGCUAACUACGUG